Molecule: ribosomal RNA, 484 nt
Filed under: uncultured bacterium
Lineage: Bacteria
Description: partial 16S ribosomal RNA
Rfam family: Bacterial small subunit ribosomal RNA
Source: RNAcentral
AUUGAACGCUGGCGGCAGGCCUAACACAUGCAAGUCGAGCGGAUGAAGGGAGCUUGCUCCUGGAUUCAGCGGCGGACGGGUGAGUAAUGCCUAGGAAUCUGCCUGGUAGUGGGGGAUAACGUCCGGAAACGGGCGCUAAUACCGCAUACGUCCUGAGGGAGAAAGUGGGGGAUCUUCGGACCUCACGCUAUCAGAUGAGCCUAGGUCGGAUUAGCUAGUUGGUGGGAUAAAGGCCUACCGAGGCGACGAUCCGUAACUGGUCUGAGAGGAUGAUCAGUCACACUGGAACUGAGACACGGUCCAGACUCCUACGGGAGGCAGCAGUGGGGAAUAUUGGACAAUGGGCGAAAGCCUGAUCCAGCCAUGCCGCGUGUGUGAAGAAGGUCUUCGGAUUGUAAAGCACUUUAAGUUGGGAGGAAGGGCAGUAAGUUAAUACCUUGCUGUUUUGACGUUACCAACAGAAUAAGCACCGGCUAACUUCGUG